This 305-nucleotide ribosomal RNA is filed under the name uncultured bacterium. RNAcentral's name for it is "bacterial SSU rRNA". It matches the Rfam family "Bacterial small subunit ribosomal RNA", at positions 338 to 657 of the family's 1533-position model. The record is from RNAcentral.
CCUACGGGAGGCAGCAGUGGGGAAUAUUGGGCAAUGGGCGCAAGCCUGACCCAGCAACGCCGCGUGAAGGAAGAAGGCUUUCGGGUUGUAAACUUCUUUUCUCAGGGACGAAGAAAGUGACGGUACCUGAGGAAUAAGCCACGGCUAACUACGUGCCAGCAGCCGCGGUAAUACGUAGGUGGCAAGCGUUAUCCGGAUUUACUGGGUGUAAAGGGCGUGUAGCCGGGCUGACAAGUCAGAUGUGAAAUCCGGGGGCUCAACCCCCGAACUGCAUUUGAAACUGUUGGUCUUGAGUAUCGGAGAGG